This 588-nucleotide ribosomal RNA is filed under the name uncultured bacterium. RNAcentral's name for it is "partial 16S ribosomal RNA". It matches the Rfam family "Bacterial small subunit ribosomal RNA", at positions 355 to 1376 of the family's 1533-position model. The record is from RNAcentral.
UGGGGAAUUUUGGACAAUGGGCGCAAGCCUGAUCCAGCCAUGCCGCGUGCGGGAAGAAGGCCUUCGGGUUGUAAACCGCUUUUGUCAGGGAAGAAAUCUUCUGAGUUAAUACCUCGGGAGGAUGACGGUACCUGAAGAAUAAGCACCGGCUAACUACGUGCCAGCAGCCGCGGUAAUACGUAGGGUGCAAGCGUUAAUCGGAAUUACUGGGCGUAAAGCGUGCGCAGGCGGUUUUGUAAGACAGAGGUGAAAUCCCCGGGCUCAACCUGGGAACUGCCUUUGUGACUGCAAGGCUUGAGUGCGGCAGAGGGGGGAUGGAAUUCCGCGUGUAGCAGUGAAAUGCGUAGAUAUGCGGAGGAACACCGAUGGCGAAGGCAAUCCCCUGGGCCUGCACUGACGCUCAUGCACGAAAGCGUGGGGAGCAAACAGGAUUAGAUAGCCCUGGUAGUCCACGCCCUAAACGAUGUCAACUGGUUGUUGGGAAGGUUCCUUCUCAGUAACGUAGCUAACGCGUGAAGUUGACCGCCUGGGGAGUACGGCCGCAAGGUUGAAACUCAAAGGAAUUGACGGGGUCAUAGCUGUUUCCUG